UACGGGGGGGGCAAGCGUUGUUCGGAAUUACUGGGCGUAAAGGGCUCGUAGGUGGCCAACUAAGUCAGACGUGAAAUCCCUCAGCUUAACUGGGGAACUGCGUCUGAUACUGGAUGGCUUGAGUUUGGGAGAGGGAUGCGGAAUUCCAGGUGUAGCGGUGAAAUGCGUAGAUAUCUGGAGGAGCACCGGUGGCGAAGGCGGCAUCCUGGACCGGCAUUGACGCUGAGGCGCGAAAGCCAGGGGAGCAAACGGG
RNAcentral lists this ribosomal RNA (253 nucleotides) under uncultured bacterium. RNAcentral describes it as "partial 16S ribosomal RNA". It matches the Rfam family "Bacterial small subunit ribosomal RNA", at positions 524 to 776 of the family's 1533-position model. The record is from RNAcentral.